ACGAAGGGACCUAGCGUAGUUCGGAAUUACUUGGCUUAAAGAGUUCGUAGGUGGUUGAAAAAGUUGGUGGUGAAAUCCCAGAACUUAACUCUGGAACUGCCAUCGAAACUUUUCAGCUAGAGUAUGAUAGAGGAAAGCAGAAUUUCUAGUGUAGAGGUGAAAUUCGUAGAUAUUAGAAAGAAUACCAAUUGCGAAGGCAGCUUUCUGGAUCAUUACUGACACUGAGGAACGAAAGCAUGGGUAGCGAAGAGGAUUAGAUACCCUCGUAGUCCAUGCCGUAAACGAUGUGUGUUAGACGUUGGAAAUUUAUUUUCAGUGUCGCAGGGAAACCGAUAAACACACCGCCUGGGGAGUACGACCGCAAGGUUAAAACUCAAAUGAAUUGACGGGGACCCGCACAAGUAGUGGAGCAUGUGGUUUAAUUCGAAGAUACGCGCAGAACCUUACCAACACUUGACAUGUUCGUCGCGACUCUAAGAGAUUAGAGUUUUCGGUUCGGCCGGACGAAACACAGGUGCUGCAUGGCUGUCGUCAGCUCGUGUCGUGAGAUGUUGGGUUAAGUCCCGCAACGAGCGCUACCCUCACUUUUAGUUGCCAUCAUUAAGUUGGGCACUCUGAAAGAACUGCCAGUGAUAAGCUGGAGGAAGGUGGGGAUGACGUCAAGUCCUCAUGGCCCUUACGUGUUGGGCUACACACGUGCUACAAUGGCAUCUACAACAGGAAGCAAAACGGCAACGUUAAGCAAAUCCCGAAAAGAUGCCUCAGUUCGGAUUGCACUCUGCAACUCGAGUGCAUGAAGCUGGAAUUACUAGUAAUCGUGGAUCAGCGUGCCACGGUGAAUGCGUUCCCGGGUCUUGUACACACCGCCCGUCACACCAUGGGAGUUGGUUCUACCUUAAGGCAAGGUUUCAAACCCUUGACCACGGUAUAGUCAGCGACUGGGGUGAAGUCG
RNAcentral lists this ribosomal RNA (952 nucleotides) under uncultured sea ice bacterium. RNAcentral describes it as "bacterial SSU rRNA". It matches the Rfam family "Bacterial small subunit ribosomal RNA", at positions 525 to 1488 of the family's 1533-position model. The record is from RNAcentral.